Non-coding RNA from Triticum aestivum (bread wheat), 87 nucleotides. The record is from Rfam. NCBI's taxonomy places the organism in Eukaryota, Viridiplantae, Streptophyta, Magnoliopsida, Poales, Poaceae.
GGAGAGAUGGUGAGUGGUUGAUAGCUCCGGUCUUGAAAACCGGUAUAGUUCUAGGAACUAUCGAGGGUUCGAAUCCCUCUCUCUCCU